Molecule: ribosomal RNA, 211 nt
Filed under: uncultured bacterium
Lineage: Bacteria
Description: partial 16S ribosomal RNA
Rfam family: Bacterial small subunit ribosomal RNA
Source: RNAcentral
AGUUCGGAUUGAAGGCUGAAAUUCGCCUUCAUGAAGUCGGAAUUGCUAGUAAUGGCAGGUCAGCAUACUGCCGUGAAUACGUUCCCGGGCCUUGUACACACCGCCCGUCACACCAUGGGAGUCGGUAACACCCGAAGCCUGUAGUCUAACCGCAAGGGGGACGCAGUCGAAGGUGGGAUUGAUGACUGGGGUGAAGUCGUAACAAGGUAAC